This 82-nucleotide small nucleolar RNA is filed under the name Hucho hucho (huchen). RNAcentral describes it as "Small nucleolar RNA SNORA24 (ENSHHUG00000017283.1)". The record is from RNAcentral. Lineage: Eukaryota; Metazoa; Chordata; Actinopteri; Salmoniformes; Salmonidae.
GUCCACGUUACCAUGGAAGCUGUGUUGCCAGUGACAGUCUCCCUUCCUAGGCGUGGCACAGUAUCUCCUUGUUCUGACAAAC